UCUGUUAGCCUGCGUGAUAACCAUUUUUGUGUGAACUCCAUGCGGCACCACUGUCCAAUAUGCAAUGAGAUGAUGCAGAAUUCCUAAUUACGGAAGCCAACUGCCAGCUAAUUCUCGCUAUAUAUUUUUAUAUAAACCCCAAGCUAGGAUUCGUGGUAGUUUGACCACUUGUCCACCAUUCUUCAUGAUAUGUGUUCAACGACAACGUUUUUGUAAAUCCUCUCAAUGUUUCUGUGAAGCAUACAAGCCCCAAGAAGGGAACUCCAGACUACUUGCCGAAUCAGGCCUCACGCCUUGUAGAGAUGACCGGCAUCCCCAAGAAGAUCAACCGUGUAUGUGCAAUACUGCUCGUUUUACACCAAAUUCAAGGCUCGU
Molecule: long non-coding RNA, 375 nt
Organism: Juglans microcarpa x Juglans regia
Lineage: Eukaryota; Viridiplantae; Streptophyta; Magnoliopsida; Fagales; Juglandaceae
Exons: 3
Source: RefSeq, a predicted model, not a curated record